CCACACCGAUUCCUGAAGUCAUCCAGAUCCAGCGCCCAGAUCAUGCCACCACCAAGACCCAUCUUCUUGAUCCACUCAGACUGAGAGGUGAAGGCAACCAUCAGUGACUCAUUGCUGAUCAAGAUGCAGACUGAUGCCUGAGUGAGUGGUUACCAUUUCCCAGUGUUCAGUCUGGCUGUCAUCGGUGCCUCUGUCCUGCUCACACUGCCUCAAGAGGGUGGCCAGGCAAUCUCCUCACUACGAUAUACACUUGAACAUCAACAAAGAAAGCAGUGUGCUUGUAGGAGUUGUGAAGAAAGUGGUCUCCUUCACUACUAAUGGUAUUCUCACUGUCAUUGUUGUUUUCCUUCAGAAGUCAGAGAUCAUUAUAAUUCUGAUGGAGUCACCACUCAGCUGUUGUGGUGAACACAUGUGCUAACACUGUGGCACUCUGGCUGUUCAGUGCAUGCACACAAGCACACACACACACACACACACACACACACACACACACACACACACACACACACACACACACACACACACA
Long non-coding RNA from Portunus trituberculatus (swimming crab), 526 nucleotides. RefSeq lists it as uncharacterized. NCBI's taxonomy places the organism in Eukaryota, Metazoa, Arthropoda, Malacostraca, Decapoda, Portunidae. The transcript has 2 exons. The record is from RefSeq and is a predicted model, not a curated record.